Molecule: non-coding RNA, 413 nt
Organism: Rattus norvegicus (Norway rat)
Lineage: Eukaryota; Metazoa; Chordata; Mammalia; Rodentia; Muridae
Source: RefSeq, a predicted model, not a curated record
CGGGUGCAUAAGAAAGUAGGCUGAGCAAGCUAUAGAGAGCAAGCCAAGAUCCCUCCAUGGCCUCUGUUUUGGUUCCUGCCUCCAGGUUCCCACUGUCCUGGCUUCCCUUGGUGAUGGACUUAUAUGCUGUCUGUCUGAAGGAUCACCAAGCACCGCCCCCCACCAAUCAGGUCAGGAUGAGAGCUGUGGCCAGAAGCUGAGAAAGGUGACUUGGUCUCAUUCCUUCUGUUCCUGUGCCAUCAGAUCCCAUGGGCCAGUAACCAGUAUCAACAUGCAAAUGUUCUUCAUGACGUCAUCCAUAAGAGUUGAAAGAAGAACAGGACCCGAAUGCCUGUCACCUGAGAAAAGGGCAUAUUAGAUGCAGUUAGUCCAUACAAUGAAAUAUUGUUCAUCAAUAAAAGGGGUUAUCUCAA